Molecule: ribosomal RNA, 406 nt
Filed under: uncultured bacterium
Lineage: Bacteria
Description: partial 16S ribosomal RNA
Rfam family: Bacterial small subunit ribosomal RNA
Source: RNAcentral
AUUGAACGCUGGCGGCAGGCCUAACACAUGCAAGUCGAACGAGUGGCGGACGGGUGAGUAAUGUCUGGGAAACUGCCUGAUGGAGGGGGAUAACUACUGGAAACGGUAGCUAAUACAGCAUACCAUCGGAUGUGCCCAGCGGGGAUUAGCUAGUAGGUGGGGGAACGGCGCACCGAGGCGACGAUCCCUAGCUGGGCUGAGAGGAUGAACAGCCACACGGGAACUGAGACACGGUCCAGACUCGUACGUGAGGCAGCAGUGUGGAAUAUUGCACAAUGGGCGCAAGCCUGAUGCAGCCAUGCCGCGUGUAUGAAGAAGGCCUUCGGGUUGUAAAGUACUUUCAGCGGGGAGGCGUUACCCGCAGAAGAAGCACCGGCUAACUCCGUGCCAGCAGCCGCGGUAAUUC